Podarcis lilfordi (Lilford's wall lizard) is the source of this 83-nucleotide non-coding RNA. NCBI's taxonomy places the organism in Eukaryota, Metazoa, Chordata, Lepidosauria, Squamata, Lacertidae. The record is from the annotation of a GenBank genome assembly.
AUAGAUAGAUAGAUAGAUAGAUAGAUGAUAGAUAGAUAUAGAUAAAUAGCUGUCUUUGACUAUCUAUCUAUCUAUCUAUCUGA